This 69-nucleotide transfer RNA is filed under the name Centropyge woodheadi. RNAcentral describes it as "tRNA-Glu". It matches the Rfam family "tRNA". Rfam says of the family: Transfer RNA (tRNA) molecules are approximately 80 nucleotides in length. Their secondary structure includes four short double-helical elements and three loops (D, anti-codon, and T loops). Further hydrogen bonds mediate the characteristic L-shaped molecular structure. tRNAs have two regions of fundamental functional importance: the anti-codon, which is responsible for specific mRNA codon recognition, and the 3' end, to which the tRNAs corresponding amino acid is attached (by aminoacyl-tRNA synthetases). tRNAs cope with the degeneracy of the genetic code in two manners: having more than one tRNA (with a specific anti-codon) for a particular amino acid; and 'wobble' base-pairing, i.e. permitting non-standard base-pairing at the 3rd anti-codon position. The record is from RNAcentral. Lineage: Eukaryota; Metazoa; Chordata; Actinopteri; Pomacanthidae.
GUUCCUGUAGUGAAAUUAUAACGGUGGUUUUUCAAGCCAUUAGUCCUGGUUAAAGCCCUGGCAGGAACU